CCUCUCUCAGGGUCACACCUGGAGAGUUUCCAGUACUCUCCCAGUCUUGGCUACAGGAGGGAGAGGCAAGCAGAGGCAUGCCCAUUCCCUUCCUAGCUUGGGCAGUGGCUAGCAAGUGAAAGACAAUCUGCUACAAGU
Small nucleolar RNA from Ornithorhynchus anatinus (platypus), 138 nucleotides. The record is from RefSeq and is a predicted model, not a curated record. NCBI's taxonomy places the organism in Eukaryota, Metazoa, Chordata, Mammalia, Monotremata, Ornithorhynchidae.